Molecule: long non-coding RNA, 1707 nt
Filed under: Homo sapiens (human)
Lineage: Eukaryota; Metazoa; Chordata; Mammalia; Primates; Hominidae
Description: HSALNT0106259
Rfam family: Small nucleolar RNA U13 (bases 362-468)
Source: RNAcentral
UAGCCGGGCAUAGUGGUGGGUGCCUGUAAUCCCAGCUACUCAGGAGUCUGAGGCAGGAGAAUUGCUUGAACUCGGGAGGGUGGAGGUUGCAGUGAGCUGAGAUUGCACCACUGCACUCCAGCCUGGAUGGCAGAGUGAGACGUGUCUCAAAAAAAAAAAAAAAAAAAAAAAAGAAAGAAAUUUAGGGGACACAUUCAAACUAUAGCAAGGAACAAUUCAUUUACUGGGAAUAAUGAUUAUCCAUACCCCAAUUCCAUUUCCAAAUGUACUUGUAGAAAAUUGUUUGCAAAUGACAGCCUGAAAUCUCUCAUCUCUUUGUUUUGAAACAAAACAUAAAAUGUCCAAAAAUAAAACAGUUGAGAUCCGUUUGUGAUUCAUAAGGGUGAUGAUUGGGUUUUCAUGCUAAUAUGUGAGAUGUGACUCCUUCAAACUUCCUUGUUAUGACAUCAGCACAUUACUCAUCUGAUGUGAAAAGAAAUUUUUAAUUUAAAAAAGUUGAUAUUUUAAGCUAAAAUGCAAAAAUUCUAAACACUAGGCAAUCACAAUAGCUUUUGUCCAUUUGACUGCCAUAGCAUGUAGUUACUUUUAUUUUAUUUUAGAGACAGAGUCUUACUUUGUUGCCCAGGCUGUAGUGCAGUGGUUUGAUCUUGGCUCACUGCAACCUCUGCCUCCUGAGUUCAAGUGAUUCUUAUGCCUCAGCCUCGAGAGAAGCUGGGGUUACAGGCGUGUGCUACCACGCCCAGCUAAUUUUUUUUUUUUUUUUUUUUUUUUAGACGGAGUCUCGCUCUGUCGCCCAGGCUGGAGUGCAGUGGCGCGAUCUCGGCUCACUGCAAGCUCCACCUCCCGGGUUCACGCCAUUCUCCUGCCUCAGCCUCCGGAAUAGCUGGGACUACAGGCGCCCGCCACCACUCCCGGCUAAUUUUUAUGUUUUUUUUUUUUUUUUAGUGGAGGUGGGGUUUCACCAUGUUGGCCGGGAUGGUCUCCAUCUCCUGACCUCGUGAUCCACCCACCUCGGCCUCCCAAAGAGCUGGGAUUACAGGGGUGAGCCACAGCGCCCGGCCAUUUUUGUAUUUUUAGUAGAAACGAGAUUUCACCAUGUUAGCCAGGCUGGUCUUGAACUCCUGACCUCAGGUGAUCCACCCACCUUAGCCUCCCAAAGUGUUGGGAUUACAGGCAUGAGCCACCUCGCCCAGCUGCAUGUAGUUACUUUUAAUCUAUACUGAAUAUAGGCUUGGUCCCUAAACUAACCAUAAUAAACAAUUCCAUUUCGAAAUGUAAAUCACAAAUUAUAUUUUGUCUUACAUAAUUGAUUUAAAGUAUGUGUCAUGUUAAACAGAAAGUUGAAUUUUGUCUUAAUAACAUGAAUAUUAUUGGAUUAUAUUAAAUUAAUAUUUUUUGUAGAAUUGUAAUACUUUUUUAAACAUAAACAAUUUUACAAAAAAUUGUAAAACAUAUAUCAAUGAGCUAAUAUUUAUAAGUGUAAUAUUCUAAAUAUUUUUGAAGUGCCUGUAACAAUGCCUAGAACAGUGCCUGGUACAUAAUAAGCAUUAUAUGUGUCUGUUAAAUAAAAAGAAAACGAAAUUAUAAAAUAUUUUAAAAUACUACAAGUUUUAUAAGUAUAUUUAUAUAUAUGAAUUGAUAAAGAACAUUUGCAUAGUAAAAAAUAUAUAUACAUUGGAAAAUGCAGAUUUAUGUAAUCACUCCCCC